Molecule: long non-coding RNA, 795 nt
Organism: Serinus canaria (Common canary)
Lineage: Eukaryota; Metazoa; Chordata; Aves; Passeriformes; Fringillidae
Exons: 3
Source: RefSeq, a predicted model, not a curated record
GUCCGUUUUGGUCACUCUUCAACUGCUCUUUCCACAGCCAGAAGCUGACAUUCAGAUUGAAUUGUAGUACAUCUGAUCAAGCAAGGGAUGUGUUUUGAAGGCAAAGCUCGAAGAUUGAGUUGUGUGACUCCACUGGUAUUGAAAAAGGGCCCUAAAGUGAGGCUGUGUAUUUACCUUGUAUUCUUGGGAUUGAAGGAGAAUAGGCUGGAACAGUUUUCCUUUUCUUUAUGAAGAAUGAACUCUGCUCUGUGCAUGCAAUGGGAGUUGGAGCGAACGAUCUGUGGGAGAUCCUUCCCACUCCCCCUGCCCCAGGAUGGGAUUUGGAGCACACAACACCCUUAUUGCUUCCCUCUCCUGUUUGGUGUUCUGCAGUGGUUGUGCCAAGCUCACCCUCAUGCCCCCGUGGCCUGGAAAAAGUACUUUUUUUCCUAAAGAAAGUUUGGAAGAGGGAAAAUUCACACAUGGAAAACAAAUGAGCAUCGGGAACCACUCCUCAUAGCUAAUGGCUACUUGGUAUGUCGCCAGAAUUCAUAUGGAUCCUUAAAAUCAAGUAAAUUAUGCCCGCAGUGAUAGCUCCCUUUGCUGGAGUCCCACAACAACCACAAAUGGUGGAGUGAAGCUGAACUGCCAAGUUUCAUUUUUCACCUCCCCAUUCCUUUCAAUUAAGUAGAUUUGUUUGCUGCAGGAGGGCCUAUGCAUAUUUUAUGUGCCAGCCCCUCUCUCAGGUGCGCUCACAGCCGCCGUGCCCGGCACGCGUGUCCUCACCCAGCCCCUCUCCCAUCCCAUCCCAUCCCA